CCUGACUGCUAUCGGAUUGAUACUAAGCCAUGCGAGUCUUUGUAGUAAUACAAGGCAGACGGCUCAGUAACACGUAGUCAACCUACCCUAUGGACAAGAAUAAUCUCGGGAAACUGGGCAUAAUUCUUGAUAGAUCAUAAUGCCUGGAAUGGUUUAUGGUUAAAAUGAUUCGUCGCCAUAGGAUGGGACUGCGGCCUAUCAGCUUGUUGGUGAGGUAAUGGCCCACCAAGGCGAUUACAGGUACGGGCUCUGAGAGGAGAAGCCCGGAGAUGGGUACUGAGACACGGACCCAGGCCCUAUGGGGCGCAGCAGGCGAGAAAACUUUGCAAUGUGCGAAAGCACGACAAGGUUAAUCCGAGUGAUUUCUGCUAAAGAAAUCUUUUGCCAGUCAUAAAACCACUGGUGAAUAAGGGGUGGGCAAGUUCUGGUGUCAGCCGCCGCGGUAAAACCAGCACCUCAAGUGGUCAGGAUGAUUAUUGGGCCUAAAGCAUCCGUAGCCGGCUUUGUAAGUUUUCGGUUAAAUCCAUGUGCUCAACGCAUGGGCUGCCGAAAAUACUGCAUAGCUAGGGAGUGGGAGAGGUAGACGGUACUCAGUAGGAAGGGGUAAAAUCCUUUGAUCUAUCGAUGACCACCUGUGGCGAAGGCGGUCUACCAGAACACGUUCGACGGUGAGGGAUGAAAGCUGGGGGAGCAAACCGGAUUAGAUACCCGGGUAGUCCCAGCUGUAAACGAUGCAGACUCGAUGAUGCAUUGGCAUAAUAGCCAGUGCAGUGUCGCAGGGAAGCCGUUAAGUCUGCCGCCUGGGAAGUACGUACGCAAGUAUGAAACUUAAAGGAAUUGGCGGGGGAGCACCACAAGGGGUGAAGCCUGCGGUUC
Molecule: ribosomal RNA, 876 nt
Filed under: uncultured archaeon
Lineage: Archaea
Description: bacterial SSU rRNA
Rfam family: Archaeal small subunit ribosomal RNA
Source: RNAcentral